This 957-nucleotide ribosomal RNA is filed under the name Cliona celata. RNAcentral describes it as "SSU rRNA". It matches the Rfam family "Eukaryotic small subunit ribosomal RNA", at positions 41 to 1001 of the family's 1831-position model. Lineage: Eukaryota; Metazoa; Porifera; Demospongiae; Clionaida; Clionaidae. The record is from RNAcentral.
AGACUAAGCCAUGCAUGUCUAAGUAUAAACGCUUCUAUACUGUGAAACUGCGAAUGGCUCAUUAAAUCAGUUAUAGUUUAUUUGAUGGUUCCUACUACAUGGAUAACCGUGGUAAUUCUAGAGCUAAUACAUGCAGAAAGUCCCGACUUCUGGAAGGGAUGUAUUUAUUAGAUCCAAAACCGGCGCGGGUCUUCGGGCCCGGUUGCUUGGUGAUUCAUGAUAACUGCUCGAACCGUAUGGCCUUUGUGCCGACGGUGCUUCAUUCAAAUUUCUGCCCUAUCAACUUUCGAUGGUACGGUAGUGGCCUACCAUGGUUGCAACGGGUGACGGAGAAUUAGGGUUCGAUUCCGGAGAGGGAGCCUGAGAAACGGCUACCACAUCCAAGGAAGGCAGCAGGCGCGCAAAUUACCCAAUCCCGACUCGGGGAGGUAGUGACAAUAAAUAACAAUGCCGGGCUUUCUUAGUCUGGCAAUUGGAAUGAGUACAAUCUAAACCCCUUAACGAGGAACAAUUGGAGGGCAAGUCUGGUGCCAGCAGCCGCGGUAAUUCCAGCUCCAAUAGCGUAUAUUAAAGUUGUUGCAGUUAAAAAGCUCGUAGUUGGAUUUCGGGGCAGCCUGGCUGGUCCGCCGCAAGGCGAGUACUGGUCAGCCGCCCUUCCUCUCGAAAGCCCCGACUGCUCUUUAUUGUAGUGGUCGGGUAGUUCGGGACGUUUACUUUGAAAAAAUUAGAGUGUUCAAGGCAGGCCUACGCCUGAAUACAUUAGCAUGGAAUAAUGGAAGAGGACCUCGGUCCUAUUUUGUUGGUUUCCAGGGCCGAAGUAAUGAUUAAGAGGGACAGUUGGGGGCAUUCGUAUUUAAUUGUCAGAGGUGAAAUUCUCGGAUUUAUGAAAGACGAACAACUGCGAAAGCAUUUGCCAAGGAUGUUUUCAUUAAUCAAGAACGAAAGUUAGGGGUUCGA